AAUUCCACCUACGCCUCUUUCUAUCUAUCUCCACAUGUGGUUCUCUCCUCUUGCGCUGCUCUAUAUCUCCCCUCCGAAAAUCUAAUCGGUGAUCUUCCACCGUGCGUCGCCUUGUGUCUCUCGUCUUGCACCGCUCUAUCUCUCUUGCUAUCGCGGCCCUAAUCCUUUGCUCCAAUUUGUUCUAUCGCGGCCAAAAUACUAUGUCGUCGUUUCUUCUUCGUUCAAUCUUGCGCUGCAGUGAUGGCUCGGUGCCGGAGCUUGAUUUCCCAUGGUCACUGCCUUUAUCAGACUCUGGAGAGGCCUUCCUCGGCUUGGACAAGAUUGAAGCUACGCUUGAAUAUGGUAGAACUCUGGAUUCACCCUUCGCUCGGGCUUCACUCGUGGCUAGGGCUUCGAUCUAUCGUCGCCCCUCCCAAAUCCAUGAAUCUUGGGACGAAGUUGUGUUCGAAGAUUGGUUGGUGGCUUAUACACCUACUCAUUUCUAUGUUGAAGAUCUUGCUACCGACUUUUUUGGGUAAGAUCCUACCAUUUUACUGUGUUCUUGUACUAUGGGUGAUGGAUUUUCAUAUUAUUGCAUGUUGUUGGGUCCCUGCCUUUCUGAUUAUUGCAUGUUCUUGUGCUGUGGCUGAUGGAUUUAUUGGAGUAUUGAGAUGAUAGAAAUUUUUGCUCACUUUUUGAAAUGAAAAAACAUCAAUGAUUCAAGUGAUUC
This is a long non-coding RNA of Salvia miltiorrhiza (redroot sage), 709 nucleotides long. RefSeq lists it as uncharacterized. The transcript is spliced from 2 exons. The record is from RefSeq and is a predicted model, not a curated record. NCBI's taxonomy places the organism in Eukaryota, Viridiplantae, Streptophyta, Magnoliopsida, Lamiales, Lamiaceae.